RNAcentral lists this ribosomal RNA (752 nucleotides) under uncultured archaeon. Its description in RNAcentral is "bacterial SSU rRNA". It matches the Rfam family "Archaeal small subunit ribosomal RNA", at positions 102 to 859 of the family's 1478-position model. The record is from RNAcentral.
GGAUAACCUGACCUGAGGAAGGGGAUACCCCCGGGAAACUGGGGAUAAUACCCUAUAGGUUACCGAUGCUGGAAUGCUCGGUAACUCAAAGUUCCGGCGCCUCAGGAUGGAUCUGCGGCCGAUUAGGUUGUUGUUGGGGUAACGGCCCAACAAGCCGAUAAUCGGUACGGGUUGUGGGAGCAAGAGCCCGGAGUUGGAUUCUGAGACACGAAUCCAGGCCCUACGGGGCGCAGCAGGCGCGAAAACUUUACAAUGCGGGCAACCGUGAUAAGGGAACCUCGAGUGCCUGUAUAUGCAGGCUGUCCAGGUGUCUAAAACACACCUGAAGAAAGGGCCGGGCAAGACCGGUGCCAGCCGCCGCGGUAAUACCGGCGGCUCGAGUGGUGGCCACUUUUAUUGGGCUUAAAGCGUUCGUAGCUGGGUUGUUAAGUCUCUUGGGAAAUCCGGCGGCUCAACCGUCGGGCGUCUAAGAGAUACUGGCGAUCUUGGAACCGGGAGAGGUGAGGGGUACUUCGGGGGUAGGAGUGAAAUCCUGUAAUCCUCGAGGGACCACCUGUGGCGAAGGCGCCUCACCAGAACGGCUUCGACAGUGAGGGACGAAAGCUGGGGGAGCAAACCGGAUUAGAUACCCGGGUAGUCCCAGCCGUAAACGAUGUGCGUUAGGUGUAUCGAUGACCACGAGUCAUCGAGGUGCCGAAGGGAAACCGUGAAACGUACCGCCUGGGAAGUACGGUCGCAAGGCUGAAACUUAA